This 467-nucleotide ribosomal RNA is filed under the name uncultured bacterium. Its description in RNAcentral is "partial 16S ribosomal RNA". It matches the Rfam family "Bacterial small subunit ribosomal RNA", at positions 29 to 507 of the family's 1533-position model. The record is from RNAcentral.
ACGAACGCUGGCGGCGUGCUUAACACAUGCAAGUCGAACGGAAAGGCCCUGCUUUUGUGGGGUGCUCGAGUGGCGAACGGGUGAGUAACACGUGAGUAACCUGCCCUUGACUUUGGGAUAACUUCAGGAAACUGGGGCUAAUACCGGAUAGGAGCUCCUGCUGCAUGGUGGGGGUUGGAAAGUUUCGGCGGUUGGGGAUGGACUCGCGGCUUAUCAGCUUGUUGGUGGGGUAGUGGCUUACCAAGGCUUUGACGGGUAGCCGGCCUGAGAGGGUGACCGGCCACAUUGGAACUGAGAUACGGCCCAGACUCCUACGGGAGGCAGCAGUGGGGAAUAUUGCACAAUGGGCGGAAGCCUGAUGCAGCAACGCCGCGUGCGGGAUGACGGCCUUCGGGUUGUAAACCGCUUUCGCCUGUGACGAAGCGUGAGUGACGGUAAUGGGUAAAGAAGCACCGGCUAACUACGUG